This 254-nucleotide ribosomal RNA is filed under the name uncultured bacterium. RNAcentral's name for it is "partial 16S ribosomal RNA". It matches the Rfam family "Bacterial small subunit ribosomal RNA", at positions 524 to 776 of the family's 1533-position model. The record is from RNAcentral.
CACGUAGGGGGCAAGCGUUGUCCGGAUUUAUUGGGCGUAAAGAGCUCGUAGGUGGUUCGGUAAGUCAGGUGUGAAACCUCCAGGCUCAACCUGGAGACGCCACUUGAUACUGCUGUGACUGGAGUCCGGUAGGGGAGCGUGGAAUUCCUAGUGUAGAGGUGAAAUUCGUAGAUAUUAGGAAGAACACCAGUGGCGAAGGCGGCUCACUGGCCCGGUACUGACGCUGAGGCGCGAAAGCGUGGGGAGCAAACAGG